RNAcentral lists this ribosomal RNA (724 nucleotides) under uncultured fungus. RNAcentral's name for it is "eukaryotic LSU rRNA". The stretch from base 348 to 501 matches the Rfam family "5.8S ribosomal RNA". The record is from RNAcentral. Lineage: Eukaryota; Fungi.
CAUUAUUGAAUACUGAAUCGGUUCUGAUGCUGGCUCUUCACUGGGCAUGUGCUCGUCCGUUCAUAUCUACCUUCUCUUGUGCACAUUUUGUAGUCCUUCGGAACAAGUGAAUUUCGCGCUGCUGUGAUUGACUUCGCGGUGGUUGCGGUUGGGAGAUUGGGUGUAACAGCCCUUCCUCUGUUUAUGCGCGUUGCUGUGAUUUACUUCGUGGUGACUGCGGUUCGGGGGUUGAGCGUCAGCACUUCCCCUGCCUUUGCUUUUUUCCAAGGCUAUGUUUUCAUAUACCCUAUACAAUGUUACAGAAUGUCUUUAACGAUUGUGCUUGGUCGCAGUCAUUAAACCUAUACAACUUUCAGCAACGGAUCUCUUGGCUCUCCCAUCGAUGAAGAACGCAGCGAAAUGCGAUAAGUAAUGUGAAUUGCAGAAUUCAGUGAAUCAUCGAAUCUUUGAACGCACCUUGCGCCCUUUGGUAUUCCGAAGGGCAUGCCUGUUUGAGUGUCAUUAAAUUAUCAACCUUGUUCGCUUUUACGAGCUUGAGCGAGGCUUGGAUGUGAGGGCUUGCUGGCUUCCUUCAGUGGAUGGUCUGCUCCCUUUAAAUGCAUUAGUGGGAUCUCUUGUGGACCGUCACUUGGUGUGAUAAUUAUCUAUGCCAUUUGACUGUGAAGCAAAAUUAUGGGAACCUGCUUAUAACCGUCUCGCAAGGGACAAUUUAAUUGACUAUUUG